Molecule: long non-coding RNA, 808 nt
Organism: Sardina pilchardus (European sardine)
Lineage: Eukaryota; Metazoa; Chordata; Actinopteri; Clupeiformes; Clupeidae
Exons: 3
Source: RefSeq, a predicted model, not a curated record
ACCAAGGGGCAGCUUUCGAAUCUUCACUGUUGGAUCACUUGUGUCAGCUGUAUGGGUGUAUGAAGUUACGCACGACCCCUUACCACCCUCAGGGGAACGGGGCGUGCGAACGUUUCAAUCAGACGUUGCUAUCGCUGCUGGGUUCCUUGGAGGAACAAAACAAGGCUCAUUGGCCAGAUCAUCUACCGGCGCUCCUCCUGGCAUACAACACCACAGUACACUCCAGCACAAGUAUGACCCCAUACUUUGUCAUGUAUGGUAGGCAUGCAAGGGUGCCGGUAGACAUAGCCACCGGCCCAGUACCAUAGCCAGAGACGGCAGGAACGAGAUAAACAGCGUUAUGACCGUAGGAGCCGAGCAGUACCUUUGCUACCUGGUGAAAGAGUGCUGGUGAGAAACUUCCGGAGACGCUCCCAUGGGAAACUGGCCCCUCAUUGGCAACCAACACCCUUUGUGGUCAUUGCCCAGGUCCACUCAGGCCAACCGGUCUAUAAGAUACGCCCAGAAGGAAGGUCAGGACCAGAAAAGACCAUACACCGUAACAACUUGCGCCCCUGCACCUGGGAACCGGAAACAGCCACCAGCGUUCCAGCUACAGAGCCACCAUCGGAACGUCCAGCAGAUGGUCUGAAUCCAGCCCAAGUGCCAGAGCCUCUAGGUGCCAAUCAGCCCGGGCCGUCCACUCAAUUGGCUACUCCCCAGGGUGAGGAAGUACAGAACCCCUUCCGGCGCUCCCAACGGGAGUCCCAAGGCAUCUUGCCAAGAAGGUACAGACAAUAGUAGUCAAGGGGACUGACCACUAAAACAG